CAGUCGCCGCGUAAUACGAAGGGUGCAAGCGUUAAUCGGAAUUACUGGGCGUAAAGCGCGCGUAGGUGGUUUGGUAAGAUGGAUGUGAAAUCCCCGGGCUCAACCUGGGAACUGCAUCCAUAACUGCCUGACUAGAGUACGGUAGAGGGUGGUGGAAUUUCCUGUGUAGCGGUGAAAUGCGUAGAUAUAGGAAGGAACACCAGUGGCGAAGGCGACCACCUGGACUGAUACUGACACUGAGGUGCGAAAGCGUGGGGAGCAAACAGGAUUAGAUACCCCUGUAGUCCCUGUCUCUUAUACC
RNAcentral lists this ribosomal RNA (301 nucleotides) under uncultured bacterium. Its description in RNAcentral is "partial 16S ribosomal RNA". It matches the Rfam family "Bacterial small subunit ribosomal RNA", at positions 509 to 808 of the family's 1533-position model. The record is from RNAcentral.